CGAGCUUCUCGCUGAUCUCCCAGAGCUUCUUGGCCUUUUCGGCGUCGCUGGCCUCCUCGGAGAGCUGGUUCUCGAAGGAGGCCGAGUUCUUGUUCCAGCUCCAGUAGACGCCGGACUUGGUGAGGCUGGGGUCGCUGACCACCUGCGCCAGCCGCUUCCCGGCCUCGUCCUCGGAGACGUAGCCCUUGGUGAUGUACUUCUGGAACGGCGGGAACAGCAGCCGGAACAGCGGGAUGUGCUCCCGGAACAGUCCCGUGGUGGCGAUGCAGCCCGGGUAGAGAGACGCGAACGUCACGCCCGUCUCCUCGUGGUACCGGCGGUGGAACUCCUGCAUCGUCAGCAUGUUGCACACCUUGCUGUCCUUGUACGCCUUGGCGCCGUCGAACUCCCCGCCGUCGAUCAUCACCGAGCUGCCCACGCCGUUCAGUCCACCGGCGAGCCCGCGCAGGUCGCCCAGGUUCGCCUUCGGCGGCACGUUCCCGGCCAGCGUGUUCGUGUUCCCUGCCCGAUAGAUCGAUUAUUAAAAGCUCAGCUCAGUCAGUAGUUACUUGACAGGCAUCCGAGAAUGUUGGCCGCCGCCGUGGCCAGAGUAUUGUAGCACGUACCGGUGAUGGAGCCGACGAUGAUGAGGCGCUUGGAGGGGUAGUCGGAGGACUGGAGGUCGCUGAGGAGCUCGCGGGCGAGGAGGAAGUGGCCGAGGUGGUUGACGCCGACGCUCAUCUCGAAGCC
This 729-nucleotide long non-coding RNA is filed under the name Setaria viridis. RNAcentral's name for it is "long non-coding RNA (SVIR_LNC010262)". The record is from RNAcentral. Lineage: Eukaryota; Viridiplantae; Streptophyta; Magnoliopsida; Poales; Poaceae.